AGAACGACUCUCGGCAACGGAUAUCUCGGCUCUCGCAUCGAUGAAGAACGUAACGAAAUGCGAUACCUGGUGUGAAUUGCAGAAUCCCGCGAACCAUCGAGUCUUUGAACGCAUGUUGCGCCCGAGGCCACCCGGCCGAGGGCACGCCUGCCUGGGCGUCACGC
RNAcentral lists this ribosomal RNA (164 nucleotides) under Cryptochloa decumbens. Its description in RNAcentral is "5.8S ribosomal RNA". It matches the Rfam family "5.8S ribosomal RNA". From Rfam's summary of the family: 5.8S ribosomal RNA (5.8S rRNA) is a component of the large subunit of the eukaryotic ribosome. The record is from RNAcentral. Lineage: Eukaryota; Viridiplantae; Streptophyta; Magnoliopsida; Poales; Poaceae.